AGGAGCCUGUAGGAGCAGAGAGCACUUCUGAAAGAAGAGAUAGCUGCUAUACCAGAUACAAUCACAGUUCAGAGGAGAGGACAAGCCCCAGGAGCCAAAGCAGCCGACCUACCCAGAUUUGGGCACCUAACCCUGAUCAGGAGCCAAAGAGGGUCAAGUCAAUGGUUCAGUUAACUCUGAAGUGGAGCUGCAUCAGAGACGUAGUCGGUCACCAUCCUCCACUACAGCUGGUCUUCACCAAACAAGCCUCCUAGAUACAAUGGCACAAUAGCUGGCACGGUCCCUUCAUUCAUCCUCCUGCCAGCUACUCCAUUAUUGUCACGGCGUAGGACAAACAAGCCACCAGAGACUGGCUGAAAGGCGAUGGUGAAUAGCACGGUACGGUUUACAAGGCGAUAUCCUCCUAAACACUACUGAAUGCAGCAAUCUUGUGAUUAAUAGAAAUUUGGACAUAGCCAUGGCUUUUAAAAGUUGCAGACCAGAGCACAGAGGGGGCCUAAGGAAUGAGACAACAUCGAGAAAGGGAGGACAUAGAUAUUUCAUCAAAAAUGGGCACAAUUCCCCCAGAGACAGACUGCAACAGAAAAUCUACACAGAGUGAGCGUGUUCAUGAAGCGUGCGGGUUUCCACAGCCACCGUGUCACCGCAGGUAUGUACUGGUAGGCAGCUGCUGCCCUCCACACACUGGUGAGACUGGAGCCCAAUGGACUCAAGACUUGUUUGUAACAGGAGGGCUGAGGAGGAACCUCUCUUUGACCGCCCAGGUGUUUCUAAAUGGUAGUUCAAGCUGAGUGUCUCACCUCUUAGGCAUCUGCAAAAGAACAAAAUGGAAAUCCAGUCCCCUUCUUUUUCCUUCCAAAGCAAGUAUCUGAAGUAGACUGCGGCCACACUGGGGACUCGUGCCCAAAAGGAUCUGCAUCAGAUCUCGAAACUCCAAAUUUCAUGUGGAACUCAUGGGACAAGAGGAAACCUACUGAGAGAAGGAGGCAAAUAGGCUUGAGGACCGUGCCAUUUCUUGCUCAGUUGGGUCAGGAGCUGACCUUGAUAGUGCUGGAAGAUAGAAGUGUGCUGAUCCUGCUCUUGAGCACGGCAAAGCCCAGACUUUAAAGCAAAAUCAGCAAUGCAUUUUGUGAUGGAGGAGGAAAGAGCGAGACAUGAAAACCAGACCAAAGAGAGGCAAAAAUGAAGGAGCUUACAAAAUGAACCUUGUAUAUAUUAGAUGGAAUAUAUUGUCAGUGUUCUGUAACGUUUGUGCUCAAAGCAGAAGGAAGUACAAAAUACUGUUGGUGGAUUGCUGCAGUUCAAUGGCCAUCAGCUGUUCAUAAAUCAAGUACAGAGACAGACUGCAAACUGCCUUGCUGCCAUGACAAAGACACAGUGAUUAAUGCUUCCGUUAUGGAUUAGGGAGGCACUGAGGUAAUAUUACAUGUAACUCUAAGAUGCUACUUCUUUUUUACUUCUCAGCUGAAGGCCAAGCAAAGUUUAGUCAAUAUUACUCAGAAUUAAACUGCUAAGAGUGCCGUAUGCUUUAUUUUAUAACAUAAACAUGCGUGUCUUUGCAAGUGGCUUUUUGAUUUUUUUAUAAAUUCAAUAAUUACUAUGCAGUAGCUCUGUCAGUAUUGUCUUACACUUAUUUCCCUAUUUUGUGCUAUCUAAGUUUCUGCCCAGGCUGUAUUUUAGCAUAUAUGUAUAUGUAAUUCUCUUUCCUGUGCUGAGGCGGUUUUUCAGUCUCUGCAGUGUGGCAUCAGUCCAGUAUCUACAAAUCAUCCAGUCUCCUCAGGCUGAAGAAGAAAGGAAUGGCUAGAAAUUCCGCACAUUCCUCAGGGAGAACAAGAAAAAGAGUCCAAAAACUCUCAGCAGGAAGAAUCACGGUGGCCCAGUCUGCACGGAGCCAGAUCCUCCACUGCCAGGAGGAGCGGGAGGGCUCUGGGACACGGCGGGUAUUGCACACACGGCUGUCCCGCAUCAGCUGUCCCUUCCGGACCAUAAGGCUAUCUCCUCUCAUAUCCCUCUUGUAUACAAAUUCCUGCUAGUAAACUCUGAUUAGCUCAGCUCUUGGACAGGGAAUACAUAGGUGUAGCUGGAGUGUGUUUCCACGAUAUAUAUGUUCUGAAAAACUUCAAGGAACUGGAAGGUGUCCGAGAACCCCUCCUCUCCAACACCUUUCUAAACUCCCUGCUGUUUUCUCUGCCUAUAUGUAAAGACUGAGAGGAUUCAUUAAUGGCAUUUCCUAAUCUCAUUAAUUGACCAAGUGUGGGAACAAAAAGUCACAGACACUGAUAAAGCUAGUAUGUGACUCUGGAUUCCCACUUUUGAAAUCAGACCUAUGUUUCUGGUUUUCUUAUGCAGCUGAUCUGCAGCAUGGGCUAUUCUGUUGCUACUCACAGCAUCUGCCUAACACUCAUGCUUGUGUGAUUCCAUUUUUAGCUGAAUGCACUCUCUGAUGGAUGGCAGUAUUCGAACCUAAAUUGAAAUAUAUUUGUUAAAAUCACUGUUAGGAAAAAUAUCUAACUCUAAAUUAAAAAAUAUACUCCUCUAUGAUUUCAUUUGCCGAUGAAAGAAAUAAGUGAAAAGAAAUGAGCCAAAAUGCAAAACACAUUCCUACAUUCAUAGAAAAAGUAAUUUGCUGCUAUUUUAGCAAAAUGCUCAUGAACAGAAGUCAUACAACACAUUUCCUCAGUUUCUUGUUAUUAUAGGGCAAUUGUUCCAUGUUUAUCAAAAGACUCAGAGAAACAUAAUGUUCUUGUCUGAGAAAAGCAUAAUGUUAGUGGACAGACUGUUCACUUGAUUUUACUUGGCUUCAUAAAAACAGUAGCGCUUGUAUUUUGAUUAACCAAAGAUACCCACCAUGUUUCCAGCACAUUGCUGUAUGCACGUCUCACUAUUUGCCUGCUUCAUUCUGUCAGUACACACUGGCGCAAAGGACACAUCACCAGAUACUUUAAAAUUUAUUCACCCCUUUCUUUACAUAGUUAUUCAUUAAGAAUGCAUGGACACUUGUCUUCCAAAUCAUUUUCUAGAUUUUCAUAGUUCAGAUUUUAUGAAGCACACAGGAGGUUUCAUGAGAAAGGCUCAAAAAAGUAAUUCAUAUUCUAUAUUUAUUUGUAUUGAUCAAUCAUCAAUUAGCUUUUUAAAUGUAUGAAAUUCUUCUUCAUGUUCCUCUGUUACCCAUUUCUCCCUUACACAACUGACUAGUCUGUUUGUUUAACCUUCCAAGGGAAAACCAAGACUGUUCAUAAUCUUACAAAGGCUCAAAAUUAAAAAUAACAUUAAUGAUUCUGGUUUUUUCCCCUGGUAAAAUAUUAAGAGAGAUAUUUCAUUCACAUUGAUCUUCCUUUGCAUACAUUUUCUGGUUCAGUAGUUUUCAGCUAUUUGCCUUUUGAUUCUAAAUAAAGCUUUUCAGCACAAAUAUUUCUUUCAGACUAUUCAAAUCUUUUAGCAUGAUAAACAGCCAUUGCAAUUUGACUGAAUUGCUAUACAGGUAAACAGUUCUUUAUUCCACAGAAAUUACAGAAAGUGUUGUGACAAGUAUUUUCAUUCUUCAUAUACAGUUCUGGCUCUUUCAGACACUCAGAAAAAGUAUUUAUACUAAACGCCUUGCAGUUAAGUCAUAGUAAAGGCUCUUUACUAGGCACGAGUCUCAUUUCAGAAUGUCUCUCCUUUGGGAAUAACUCUAUCACCUUACGUUAGUUAAUCAGAUAGGUCUGAUUUUAAGUAACUUCAGAACCUGAGAAGACAAAACAUUCAGGUUUUGCACUAACUGGAUGCGUGAAAAUCUGCCUCGGACUUCUCAGAUGACCUUGAAGUACCUGUUCAUGGCCUUCAGGGGUGCAUGGCAGUGCCUUAAAUCCUGCUUUUCUGGGUCUUAGCAUUGUGCUUGGGACCCUUAAGCUCUAAUUCCUACCUUAAAAUCUUGGUAAUCAAUGGUUCUGUCCUGUUUUCGAUGUGCAGAAAGUGUCACUAUACAUUUGCAAAGCAUGGAGGCGCCUGGCUCGUCGCUGCAGAGCUCGGAGGUCUGGCUGUAUGGCACGGCUUUAAAUGGACACUUGGCUUUCCAAGGGUAUGAGAUUCUCUGCUUGCACGGUAACAGUCACUCAGUUCAUCAAACUAGGCAUAGCAAACACUAAAUAGGAGUAGGAAGGAUGUUGAGUGUAUGUCUGUUGUUCUUCUCACCAACUAGUUUACUAGUGGUUUAUUGCAAGGAGAAUGUACAGUGAAUAAAACUGGUUCCUAAAACAGUGAUGGAUAUGAAGUAGCAAGUGUAAAAAAAUGAACAAUAACAUUUCUCAGUUGGCUUUUUUCAGGGGAAGAGGAGCUUCCCGUUGGAAGUUUAUUUUCCUGAAUUAAAGAUGGUGUGUUCUGCUGG
Molecule: long non-coding RNA, 4366 nt
Organism: Grus americana (Whooping crane)
Lineage: Eukaryota; Metazoa; Chordata; Aves; Gruiformes; Gruidae
Exons: 4
Source: RefSeq, a predicted model, not a curated record